RNAcentral lists this ribosomal RNA (253 nucleotides) under uncultured bacterium. Its description in RNAcentral is "partial 16S ribosomal RNA". It matches the Rfam family "Bacterial small subunit ribosomal RNA", at positions 524 to 776 of the family's 1533-position model. The record is from RNAcentral.
UACGGGGGGGGCAAGCGUUGUUCGGAAUUACUGGGCGUAAAGGGCGCGUAGGCGGCUCGCUAAGUCGGAUGUGAAAACUCUGGGCUCAACCCAGAGCCUGCAUUCGAAACUGACGAGCUCGAGUUCUGGAGGGGAAAGCGGAAUUCCUGGUGUAGCGGUGAAAUGCGUAGAUAUCAGGAGGAACACCCGUGGCGAAAGCGACUCUCUGGCCUGUAACUGACGCUGAGGCGCGAAAGCUAGGGGAGCAAACGGG